AAGAUUUUAAGUUAAAUUAAACUAUUAGCCUUCAAAUCUAUUUAUAAUGAAAUUAAUCAUUAAAUCUUA
RNAcentral lists this transfer RNA (69 nucleotides) under Cephalcia yanqingensis. RNAcentral's name for it is "tRNA-Trp". Lineage: Eukaryota; Metazoa; Arthropoda; Insecta; Hymenoptera; Pamphiliidae. The record is from RNAcentral.